This is a non-coding RNA of Vicia faba (fava bean), 270 nucleotides long. NCBI's taxonomy places the organism in Eukaryota, Viridiplantae, Streptophyta, Magnoliopsida, Fabales, Fabaceae. The record is from the annotation of a GenBank genome assembly.
AUGGCAGAUGCCUCAAAAAACGGUGUUGCACAAGAAACAAUUCAAAAUACUAUCCGAAAAGCUAGCACAAAGAUAACAGAGCAAGAGGCUCGGCAGAUUCUCGGUGUUACUGAGGAAACUCCUUGGGAGGAUAUUAUCAAGAAAUAUGAAAGAAUGUUUGAGAAUAACGCCAAGAAUGGGAGUUUUUACCUGCAGUCGAAAGUUUACCGGGCGAAGGAAUGUUUGGAAUCUAUCAAAGAAAGCAACAAAGGUGAUGGAAACCCUAGUUGA